CCCCUAGAUGUUCUGGGCCGCACGCGCGCUACACUGAACAGUUCAACAAGUCUUAACCUUUGCCGAUAGGUCUGGGUAAUCUUUGAACGCUGUUCGUGAUUGGGAUAGACCUUUGCAAUUAUGGGUCUUCAACGAGGAAUUCCUAGUAAACGCAAGUCAUCAGCUUGCAUUGAUUACGUCCCUGCCCUUUGUACACACCGCCCGUCGCACCUACCGAUUGAAUGGUCCGGUGAAAUCUCGGGACGGCGGCUUGGUCGCUUGCGUCCGACUGCUGAAACUUGAUUAAACCAUAUCAUUUAGAGGAAGGUGAAGUCGUAACA
Molecule: ribosomal RNA, 320 nt
Filed under: uncultured eukaryote
Lineage: Eukaryota
Description: partial 18S ribosomal RNA
Rfam family: Eukaryotic small subunit ribosomal RNA
Source: RNAcentral